CCUACGGGUGGCAGCAGUCGAGAAUCAUUCACAAUGGGGGAAACCCUGAUGGUGCGACGCCGCGUGGGGGAAUGAAGGUCUUCGGAUUGUAAACCCCUGUCAUGUGGGAGCAAAUUAAAAAGAUAGUACCACAAGAGGAAGAGACGGCUAACUCUGUGCCAGCAGCCGCGGUAAUACAGAGGUCUCAAGCGUUGUUCGGAAUCACUGGGCGUAAAGCGUGCGUAGGCUGUUUCGUAAGUCGUGUGUGAAAGGCGCGGGCUCAACCCGCGGACUGCACAUGAUACAGUGGAACUAGAGUGAUGGAGGGGGAGCCGGAAUUCUCGGUGUAGCAGUGAAAUGCGUAGAUAUCGAGAGGAACACUCAUGGCGAAGGCAGGUUCCUGGACAUUAACUGACGCUGAGGCACGAAGGCCAGGGGAGCGAAAGGGAUUAGAUACCCCGAUAGUC
This 446-nucleotide ribosomal RNA is filed under the name uncultured bacterium. RNAcentral describes it as "partial 16S ribosomal RNA". It matches the Rfam family "Bacterial small subunit ribosomal RNA", at positions 338 to 795 of the family's 1533-position model. The record is from RNAcentral.